CUCAUUUUUCUACUGCUCGUGGUAAGUGGCUUCGUGGUCUUUAUAGCUGUUACUCUUUUGUACUUUGUCUUUUUCUUUUAUUUUCUUUUGAGCGAUUGUGCGAACAUAGCAUAGCACGCACUAUGCCUUCUGUGUUGUAGCUGCCUGGCCAGGGCGACUGGCGGAUAAGGUCUUGUGCGUGGCCUCGAGGCUUAAAAGUAGCAGUGGGGCUUUGUGAAGGACAAAAUGGCGAUGGCGGGCCGUGUAGGUCCCCCUUCCUAUGAUGAGGACCUUUUCACAGACCUGUACUGAGCUCCGUGAGGAUAAAUAACUCUGAGGAGAUGGGCCCUGCAAGCCUCUUGCUUAGCCGUCUGUUCAGAAAAUAGCGUUUUCGAAAUGCCCUGAGUUGACCUAAUGUCUUAUUGGGCUCCUGUCUGCAGGAUUUACGCGCACGUUGGAACCGAAGAGAGCUCUGUUGUUGCAAUGUUCAGCCCACAAGAGCUUACUGGUGAAGGAAUGGGACAAGACCCAUCUUUAUGCAAAGCCAGCGUUACAGUAAUGUUCCAGCAUCUCAUAAUCUAUCCUGGGGAAUUCAGCUGCCUCCCAGGGUGAAUACAGGUAUUCCUGAUGACAGUCUGCCUCUAUCUUACAGUAAGUUGUUUUUCGAAUUCUAUGGGCCUAUUAUCUAAUAGAUAACUUAGCCAUUUUGAUAUUUGUUACCAAAGCCUGCUUAACCCAUAAAGUUUUCUGGUUCCUCUUGUUCUCUGUAGUGAUGUUUCUAGAUAGAUGCCCACUGAUAUAUGCCCCUUUUUUCUCAGAUAGAUGCCCACUGAUCUGCCCAGGGUCAGACGAAUGCUUGUCAGUUGUAGCUUUCCAGGAUUCUGCUCCAAUGAGGAGGAAACAUCCUGCCUUACCCCUGUUUUAGCCUGGGAACCAGUAAUUGUGAACUCACCAGGGUUAACAUGAAGAGGGCAUGAGAGCUUAUUCCAUAAGGAAUUGUCUGAGACAUUUGGUUACCUUUUCUUAGUUUGUCCAUUAGCAACCGUAACUAAAAUAGUUUUGGCUGUUUGGGAUAAUUAGCUAAUUGAAUGAUUUUUUGAUUCAGGAGCAGCUUGUUGCUAUAUACCAUUGAAAAGCCUUCAGAGCUGAGAGGUUAGUUGAUAUUUUUUGUUCCUUACAGCUUAUGCCACCAAGUAGGCAGUUUCUAUGAUGAAUCAAACUAGCUCACUAUGACCGACAGUGAAAAUACAUGAACACCUGAGAAACUGGAGAACGCAGGGAGUGGGGGGUAACCAUGUCUGAGGAAUCUUUCACCCACAGCUUUGUUUUUCUCUAGGUACUACUAACCAAUAACCUGCUUGGCUCAAAGGGCCAGCACCUUCUCUCUAAAGCCCAAGAGGAGUUUGAGGAAAACUAGGUGUCUGUGUUCACUCCAGGCUGAAGUUACAGGUCUGAGCAAAUAAGGUGUAUAAAAAAUGGAAUCUGUCUUGGAGGACAUCAGAAGGUGAAUUUUCCAAGUUCUUGGACAACCUAGCUGUUGAAAAGCUUUCUGGGUUUGGGGGGUAUUUCAGAUGUACCUUAAAGUGUUAGCAGACACAGAUUAAGACACUGGGAGCCAAUGAAACAGCAGUUGAGGGUUUGCUGUGUAUCACAUUUCUGUAUUUUAUCACCCCCUUCCUGCAACAUUAUUUAUCUGGAAUCUACCUGCCCUUUUGUUUUUUAGAUACAAGGGCUUGGUUUUGUUACCCAGGCUGGUUUCAAGGCCAUAGCUUUAAGAGAUCCUCUCACCACAGAUUUCCAAAGUGCUGGGAUUGCAGGUGUGAUUCAUGGCACCCAGACUUUGCUGCCUUUCUUACAUGAUCCAGGCCCAGAACCCAAACUCAGGCACUGUAUAGAUGACCACUUUCGUAAACUACUGACCUAGCUUGUUGCCAAUUGUUGAUUGAACUUCCCAUAACUCCACUUCGUGUCUGUUCCUCUGUAUACAGCCACCUUCUGUUCCCGUCAUGAGCCUUUAGGUCUCCAUUUGCAUAUUGCAAAUACUAUGUUCCAUGUAGGUAGCUCAUUCAGGGCCUUGCUCUUCACUUCAAAAAAGGUUCCCUUGAGGACUGGCUGUCAAUUUGUGUUGCUGUGUUGGUUGUUGAUGAAAAUAAUAAAAUGAUUGAUUACAUA
Molecule: long non-coding RNA, 2151 nt
Filed under: Homo sapiens (human)
Lineage: Eukaryota; Metazoa; Chordata; Mammalia; Primates; Hominidae
Source: RNAcentral